RNAcentral lists this ribosomal RNA (411 nucleotides) under Capnocytophaga granulosa. RNAcentral describes it as "bacterial SSU rRNA". It matches the Rfam family "Bacterial small subunit ribosomal RNA", at positions 28 to 432 of the family's 1533-position model. Lineage: Bacteria; Pseudomonadati; Bacteroidota; Flavobacteriia; Flavobacteriales; Flavobacteriaceae. The record is from RNAcentral.
GAUGAACGCUAGCGGCAGGCCUAACACAUGCAAGUCGAGGGAGAAGCCCUUCGGGGCAGAAACCGGCGCACGGGUGCGUAACGCGUAUGCAACCUACCUUUCACAGGGGGAUAGCCCGAAGAAAUUUGGAUUAAUACCCCAUAAUAUUAUUGGAUGGCAUCAUUUGAUAAUUAAAAUUACGAUGGUGAAAGAUGGGCAUGCGUCCUAUUAGCUAGUUGGAGUGGUAACGGCACCCCAAGGCUACGAUAGGUAGGGGUCCUGAGAGGGAGAUCCCCCACACUGGUACUGAGACAGGGACCAGACUCCUACGGGAGGCAGCAGUGAGGAAUAUUGGUCAAUGGUCGGGAAAGACUGAAACCCAGCCAUGCCCGCGUGCAGGGAAAGAAAUGCCCUUUAUGGGGUGUAAAACUG